UACGUAGGAUCCAAGCGUUAUCCGGAUUUACUGGGCGUAAAGAGUUGCGUAGGUGGCAGGGUAAGUUAGUAGUGAAAUCGUGUGGCUCAACCAUACAUCCAUUACUAAAACUGCUCAGCUUGAAGAUGAGAGAGGUCACUGGAAUUCCAAGUGUAGGAGUGAAAUCCGUAGAUAUUUGGAGGAACACCGAUGGCGUAGGCAGGUGACUGGCUCAUUCUUGACACUAAGGCACGAAAGCGUGGGGAGCAAA
This 250-nucleotide ribosomal RNA is filed under the name uncultured bacterium. RNAcentral describes it as "partial 16S ribosomal RNA". It matches the Rfam family "Bacterial small subunit ribosomal RNA", at positions 524 to 772 of the family's 1533-position model. The record is from RNAcentral.